This 253-nucleotide ribosomal RNA is filed under the name uncultured bacterium. RNAcentral describes it as "partial 16S ribosomal RNA". It matches the Rfam family "Bacterial small subunit ribosomal RNA", at positions 524 to 776 of the family's 1533-position model. The record is from RNAcentral.
AACGUAGGAGACAAACGUUAUCCGGAGUUACUGGGCGUAAAGGGCGUGCAGGUGGUCUGUUAAGUCUGGCGUGAAAGCUCCUGGCUAAACCGGGAGAGGUCGUUGGAUACUGGCGGACUAGAGGACGGUAGAGGCGUGUGGAAUUCCUGGUGUAGCGGUGAAAUGCGCAGAUAUCAGGAAGAACACCCGUGGCGAAGGCGGCUCUCUGGGACGGUACUGACGCUGAGACGCGAAAGCGUGGGGAGCGAACAGG